Long non-coding RNA from Myotis davidii, 884 nucleotides. RefSeq lists it as uncharacterized. Lineage: Eukaryota; Metazoa; Chordata; Mammalia; Chiroptera; Vespertilionidae. The record is from RefSeq and is a predicted model, not a curated record. The transcript has 6 exons.
GCGCGGCUCCGCCCUCUCCCCCGAGGCUGGCCGCGUGGCUGGAAGUCAUGGCUCCUUCUCUCCGGGCCCGGGUCGGCGAGCAGCCUCGGGCCUCAGACCUUUGGCAAAGGCCUGCCUGUAGCAUCUGCGGAGACAGAAGGGGACCUGCAGGUUGAAGCUUAAAAAUAAUGAAUGGAGCCCCGAAAUGAUAGAGUGAGACCUAUGUUACCCUGUUUCUCCUUCCGGCUAAAGGUGUUGGCUGUGGGAUUUGAGAAGAGUCACGUGAGAACCAUCAUAUUCAGGUGCUGAGUGUAAGGAUCUUCGUGAUGGAGAUUUCUGUAAACGGGGCGGUUCGGCCUUGGUUUCGGACCCGCGACGGACCCUCCAGGAGAAACCUCUACGCGGCAAUGCCUGCAGUGGGAGGCACAGAACUGAACUGCUUUGCCCGAAGCAAGUGAAACGGUUCCUCCCGUUGUGACCUCCCAGUUGUGCCGGCCGGAUCCGCGCAGCCUCUGUUGCUAAUGUUAAUGCCUGUAACGUGUUUCUCCCAGGGGAGAAUCAUUCCAGAGCUCUGUGGACUUCAUCUUCAAAAAUAGCCAGAUAAUUCGAGAGAAAAUGAGUCUAUCCCAGAAAAUUAGUGAAAUUGGGGUAUAACUAAGAACAUUGGGAAGCCGCAGCGUGGGGUCGAUAUUUGUUGCUCAUGUAUUGGCGGGACUGCGGUGACGUGGAUGGGAGGUAAUUAAAGUACUGAGUGUGCUCUUGCGGGAAGCAGAGACUCCGCCUAGAAAAACAUUUCUCUGGAAUUCUUAAGGCAGUGUGUCGUGGGCUUAACUUUUGAAGGACAAAUAAACAUUUUCAGAUGACGGCAUUGUGGGUUUCAGAUGGAGACCCACGCAACAACAGUA